Molecule: long non-coding RNA, 1671 nt
Organism: Oncorhynchus keta (chum salmon)
Lineage: Eukaryota; Metazoa; Chordata; Actinopteri; Salmoniformes; Salmonidae
Exons: 5
Source: RefSeq, a predicted model, not a curated record
AGCAGCGCAUGAGGGAGGAGGAGGAGAGGUAGAUGAGGGGGUGAGGGAGGGAGAGAGAGAUAGACCUCCGUCUUACCACGAUGCGUUUUUCUUCCCGGUGUUGAUCGUACACGGAGAGGAGAGUUGCCAUGGCGGAGAUGAUGUGAUGGACAUAAUAGUAAACUAACAGAAAACAAAAGGGAUUAAAUAAGAGAUCAAAUUUAAAUAGAUUGAUUGUCAUAGUCUGACAGUGGAAAGAAGGGAUAUUGUAGUACAGGACAAGAAAGAGGGGGAUGUUGGAGAGAGAGAGGUCUGAUAAUAUGACAGAGAGAGAGGUCUGAUAAUAUGACAGAGAGAGAGAGGUCUGAUAAUAUGACAGAGAGAGAGGUCUGAUAAUAUGACAGAGAGAGAGGUCUGAUAAUAUGACAGAGAGAGAGAGGUCUGAUAAUAUGACAGAGAGAGAGAGAGGUCUGAUAAUAUGACAGAGAGAGAGGUCUGAUAAUAUGACAGAGAGAGAGAGGUCUGAUAAUAUGACAGAGAGAGAGAGAGGUCUGAUAAUAUGACAGAGAUAGAGACAGGUCUGAUAAUAUGACAGAGAUAGAGGUCUGAUAAUAUGACAGAGAGAGAGAGGUCUGAUAAUAUGACAGAGAGAGGUCUGAUAAUAUGACAGAGAGAGAGGUCUGAUAAUAUGACAGAGAGAGAGAGAGGUCUGAUAAUAUGACAGAGAGAGGUCUGAUAAUAUGACAGAGAGAGAGAGGUCUGAUAAUAUGACAGAGAGAGAGAGGUCUGAUAAUAUGACAGAGAGAGAGAGAGGUCUGAUAAUAUGACAGAGAGAGAGAGGUCUGAUAAUAUGACAGAGAGAGAGGUCUGAUAAUAUGACAGAGAGAGAGAGGUCUGAUAAUAUGACAGAGAGAGAGGUCUGAUAAUAUGACAGAGAGAGAGAGGUCUGAUAAUAUGACAGAGAGAGAGAGGUCUGAUAAUAUGACAGAGAGAGAGAGGUCUGAUAAUAUGACAGAGAGAGAGGUCUGAUAAUAUGACAGAGAGAGAGAGAGGUCUGAUAAUAUGACAGAGAGAGAGGUCUGAUAAUAUGACAGAGAUAGAGAGAGGUCUGAUAAUAUGACAGAGAGAGAGAGAGGUCUGAUAAUAUGACAGAGAGAGAGAGAGGUCUGAUAAUAUGACAGAGAGAGAGGUCUGAUAAUAUGACAGAGAGAGAGAGAGGUCUGAUAAUAUGACAGAGAGAGAGAGGUCUGAUAAUAUGACAGAGAUAGAGAGAGGUCUGAUAAUAUGACAGAGAGAGAGAGAGGUCUGAUAAUAUGACAGAGAGAGAGAGGUCUGAUAAUAUGACAGAGAGAGAGAGGUCUGAUAAUAUGACAGAGAGAGAGAGAGGUCUGAUAAUAUGACAGAGAGAGAGAGAGGUCUGAUAAUAUGACAGAGAUAGAGAGAGGUCUGAUAAUAUGACAGAGAGAGAGAGAGGUCUGAUAAUAUGACAGAGAGAGAGAGGUCUGAUAAUAUGACAGACAGAGAGAGGUCUGAUAAUAUGACAGAGAGAGAGAGAGGUCUGAUAAUAUGACAGAGAGAGAGGUCUGAUAAUAUGACAGAGAGAGAGAGAGGUCUGAUAAUAUGACAGACAGAGAGAGAGGUCUGAUAAUAUGACAGAGAUAGAGAGAGGUCUGAUAAUAUGACAGACAGAGA